Molecule: unclassified non-coding RNA, 2188 nt
Filed under: Hevea brasiliensis (rubber tree)
Lineage: Eukaryota; Viridiplantae; Streptophyta; Magnoliopsida; Malpighiales; Euphorbiaceae
Source: RNAcentral
GAAGAAGAAAUGGAGAAGGCAGAAGGGAGCAAGAAGACGUGCUGCAAAAGGAAGAUAAGCGAAUCUGAAACCUCUUCCAUUACCAUGAACAUACCAUCUUUUCUCUCAUAUACUGGCAACCUUCUGCAAGCAUGGAAACCGACCUAACUCUCUUCUCAAAGUCCCUUAAAUUCUCUUCCCCUUUUCAUCCUCUCUUUGCUCCCCAAUCUUCUCAGUCCUCUCUCUCUCUAUCUCUCUAUAUAUAUAUAUAUAUUAUACCUGUUUUAUCUUAAUUCACUAAAAUUGUAUCUUGGAUAGCGGCGGUGUCCAGACACUGCUUGUUGGACCGCAAAGAUUGUGGGGCCCGCUUCGCUAUUGUCCUUGGAAAUGAAUGAACGAAUUGCUUUGGAUGUUGAAAUUGUGAAGUUUUUUAUCUCGGCUUUAAGGAGUUCCAUUAGGAGAGUUUCAAUGGCUGCGUGAAAUGCUCUUCUGGAUUUGUCUCCGUUGGAAGGCUGUGGUUAUUGGAGUUCUCUGCUCUACAGAAGCUUAUGUGAGUAUUUUAAUUAUGCUUCUUCAAGUGGGUGCUAUUUCAGAUACACCCCCAAAGUUGUGGUUAAAGAAUGUUCUUCUGUUUUUUAUGUCUGAAUCAAGGAAUUAUUAGGAAUGAUGUGGCUGUCAAAACUCAAACAUGUCCAGUUAUGAUUGUCAAUUCUGUACUCUCAUCAGUGCAGUAUGAGUAGCUGCAUUUGUUUAGUCUAGUUGGUUUGGAUGUCCUUUUCUUGGCAAAUGGAUAGUUAGGCUCUGUUUGGAUGAGGGUGAAGGAGAGGUAAAAAAGGUAAAGAGGAAAAUUAACUUAUAUGCCCUGUUUGGAAUGAGGUAAAUUCAUAGAGAGUAUGUAAGCAAGGGUAAGCCUUAACUCCCUUGCCCCUCAAAUCUCAAUUUUCUUUACGCCCAUUUGAGGUGCAAGGAGGGAUAAGGAGGGCAGGGUAAGGAGGAGGAGGGGAGGGUAAGGAGGGUAGGUGAGAGUUAUGAUUAUUUUGUUUCUUGCAUAUUUAUAUUUAAUCUUACUUCACCUCAUUUGCAAAUAUAAAGAAUAUAUAUUUCCCUAUUUACCUUUUCAUUAAUUCAGCCUUUUUAAAAUAUGAUUUUUUUUUAUUAUAACCUUCUUUAUUUUUUCUUCUCCUUACCUUUCUUACCUUUCCAUUUAUUAACCUUCCUUCACCCUAUCCAAACAAAGCCUAUCCUGGUUGACCUUCAUGUAUUUAGAAUGCUAUGGACCAUAUCCUUUGAUCCUUUCUUACCUUUCCAUUGAGGACCAUAUCCUUGUUGACCUUCAUGUUUUUAGAAUGCUAUGGUUAACGCAUGAGAAAUUGCCUACCCUAUUCAAUCCACUGAACUUUUGUUAAGCAUUUAGAAAUUGAAGUUUUGCCAAUAAGCAUCCCACAUGUGGAUGAGUGGUAAAUUGCAGAAGAAGCAAAAGAAAGUUAUGAGCAGUAGGACGUUGCUGUUUGUAUCACUUAAUUCAUAGGAGGGUCAGUAUUUCUGUCUGCUUCAUUAUCAAAAAAAUGCUUAUAUGUUUAUUAAAUUCACAGGCGGGAAAAUAUAUUUGUAGCAUGGUUUCCAAAUCUUCUCCUUCCUACCUUGUUUCAGGUCCUCUCUCUCUAUCCUCAUCAGUUGGCUCUUGUGUUUCUUUUAUUUAUUUGCUUAUUUUUAUUUUGAACAACAAUACUGGAAACCUUUCAGGUAACUAUAGCAUCUUAGAUAGGCAAGAGAAGACUAUGAGUUUUUGUCUUAGAAUAUAGCACAUAUUUAUCCCAAAAAAAAAUGUAUCCAAUGAAGUUUAAUUGAUUGUCAUUUUAGUACCUUUUUUUCUGCUAAUAUUAUUAAACCAUAUUUAUUUGAUGCUCAUGUAUCAUAAACAACAAUUAUGCUUUAAUAUUAUUCAUAAUGACUCUUAUAUGGAUGGCCACAUGAUCAAGGGUGAGCAAGAAAUUUUUUUAUAGGGGCCCAAUAUUUAUAGAUAUAGAACAUAAUAUCAUUUUCUUAAAAGAAAAUUUUAUAUAUCCAAUGACCAAUUCAUUAAAUUGUGAGCAGUUAGAUUUCUUUUUCUAUAAAAAUGUAAAUCAAGAGGAGCAUGGAUAUAUAUAUAUAUAGUUUUAUAAUUGAUCAUGGUAUUUUUUUAAAUAUAAUAUAAUAAAUUAAAUAUAUA